ACGAACGCUGGCGGCGUGCUUAACACAUGCAAGUCGAGCGAUGAAGCUUCUUCGGAAGUGGAUUAGCGGCGGACGGGUGAGUAACACGUGGGUAACCUGCCUCAUAGAGGGGAAUAGCCUUCCGAAAGGAAGAUUAAUACCGCAUAAGAUUGUAAUAUUGCAUGAUAUAGCAAUUAAAGGAGUAAUCCGCUAUGAGAUGGACCCGCGUCGCAUUAGCUAGUUGGUGAGGUAACGGCUCACCAAGGCGACGAUGCGUAGCCGACCUGAGAGGGUGAUCGGCCACAUUGGGACUGAGACACGGCCCAGACUCCUACGGGAGGCAGCAGUGGGGAAUCUUCCGCAAUGGACGAAAGUCUGACGGAGCAACGCCGCGUGAGUGAAGAAAGGUUUUCGGAUCGUAAAACUCUGUUGUCAGAGAAGAACAAGUUGGAGAGUAACUGCUCCAGCCUUGACGGUAUCUGACCAGAAAGCCACGGCUAACUACGUGCCAGCAGCCGC
RNAcentral lists this ribosomal RNA (498 nucleotides) under uncultured bacterium. Its description in RNAcentral is "bacterial SSU rRNA". It matches the Rfam family "Bacterial small subunit ribosomal RNA", at positions 29 to 518 of the family's 1533-position model. The record is from RNAcentral.